UGGCCUUGACAUCCCAGGAACUCCCACUUUCAUGGGAGUUCCUGGGAUGUCAAGGCCAGGUAAGGUUCUUCGCGUUGCGUCGAAUUAAACCACAUACUCCACCGCUUGUGCGGGCCCCCGUCAAUUCCUUUGAGUUUUAGCCUUGCGGCCGUACUUCCCAGGCGGAUUGCUUAAUGCGUUAACUUCGGCACUGAAGGGGUGAAUACCUCCAACACCUAGCAAUCAUCGUUUACGGCGUGGACUAC
RNAcentral lists this unclassified non-coding RNA (245 nucleotides) under uncultured Pseudobdellovibrionaceae bacterium. RNAcentral's name for it is "uncultured Bdellovibrionaceae bacterium contains 16S-23S intergenic spacer region". Lineage: Bacteria; Pseudomonadati; Bdellovibrionota; Bdellovibrionia; Bdellovibrionales; Pseudobdellovibrionaceae. The record is from RNAcentral.